AGAUACCUAAAAAUUUUCAUGAACAUACCCAGUCUCAUCUGAUCUCAGAAGCUUAAGCAUGGUCAGGCCUGGUUAGUACUUGAAUGGGUGGGAUCUAAAAAUUUUUUUAUACCAUUGUCAGGCAAGCAAGAUAUUUA
Molecule: ribosomal RNA, 137 nt
Filed under: Marmota marmota marmota (Alpine marmot)
Lineage: Eukaryota; Metazoa; Chordata; Mammalia; Rodentia; Sciuridae
Source: RNAcentral